This 473-nucleotide ribosomal RNA is filed under the name uncultured Nitrospira sp. RNAcentral's name for it is "bacterial SSU rRNA". It matches the Rfam family "Bacterial small subunit ribosomal RNA", at positions 8 to 475 of the family's 1533-position model. Lineage: Bacteria; Pseudomonadati; Nitrospirota; Nitrospiria; Nitrospirales; Nitrospiraceae. The record is from RNAcentral.
AGAGUUUGAUCAUGGCUCAGGACGAACGCUGGCGGCGCGCCUAAUACAUGCAAGUCGAGCGAGAAGACGUAGCAAUACGUUUGUAAAGCGGCGAACGGGUGAGGAAUACACGGGUAACCUACCCUCGAGUGGGGAAUAACUAGCCGAAAGGUUAGCUAAUACCGCGUACGCUCCUUGGACUUCGGUUCAGGGAGGAAAGCGAUACCGUGGGUAUCGCGCUCUUGGAUGGGCCCAUGUCCUAUCAGCUUGUUGGUGAGGUAACGGCUCACCAAGGCUUCGACGGGUAGCUGGUCUGAGAGGACGAUCAGCCACACUGGCACUGCGACACGGGCCAGACUCCUACGGGAGGCAGCAGUAAGGAAUAUUGCGCAAUGGGCGAAAGCCCGACGCAGCGACGCCGCGUGGGGGAUGAAGGUCUUCGGAUUGUAAACCCCUUUCGGGAGGGAAGAUGGAACGAGCAAUCGUUCGGACGG